GACAGGAGCACUGCUCUGGACGUAGCUGUAACCUCUAGACGAAGAUUAUUUUGCAGGGAGCUGUUUUCCAAACUUUCUGUUUCAUGGGAUCAAGUUCCUCCGUGGACCUCUCAUACUGUUGGCUGUCUUUGUAGUGCUGAAGUGCGAAGAUACAAUGCUGUGGAUCUACUUCAACAAGGGGCCCUAAUGAGACAGACCAGAACGUCUCUGCAGCUAUAGCAACUUGCUGUUUACAGCUGCCUUGGUAAAGAUCAUGUUCACGCUGAGGAUGUUUGCACAGUGCAGGUGGGAUCAUAUUGUGUCUGCAUUUGUAGAUGCUGUGGACUGUAACCUGAUAGAAUCACAUCUGCCUUUGUAAAGCUUGAACUGAUAACUCACAAUCUACCAUCACCCAUCAACCAAUGAGUUGUUGGUCGUUAAAGGCUGGCUUGGCUGAUCAUUUCACACAGCAACAACUGACUUUAGGUAGUGGUGCUUUCUGAGGAAAAACCUGCAUUUAUUCAUUUGUUGAGCUCUCAGAGCUGCAGCUUCUCUGUUUCUUAUUCUUCUACAUCUGGCUUUUUAUCUCAGCCUGAAGACCACUCAAGCCAUGCAACCUUUGGGCCUCAGUACUUUUUUCUGCAAGCAAGAGUAAAAUUUUCCUGCCAAAAUCUGAGCAGUUUCAGUCAUUUAAUUUAGAAGAUUUCAGUAUUUUGUUCUUGUUUUGUCAGAGCCUGCCAGGUCACCAUCAAUUAAAUCCAAUGAAAGCCUGCAUAAUGGAAUGUCAUAAUGUGAGUGAUGAUUUAAUCAUCAGUAUUUGUAAAGUUAGAUACUUUGGAAUUGAAAAGUUUUUAAAUGCAGUAUAAACUGACUGAAAUGGAUUUAAACCCCAGUGUGUCCACCUUAAAAGCUCUUUGCUGUGUUGUUUGUCUUUCAAAGAAGGCACUAAACUGAAGUGACCAUUUAGAGCUGUAUGUAAUUUAAUGUAAUAGGCCAAAAAUGUUUUUUUGUAUGAGUUCAAACAGGAGAUAAAUGAAAGCACAAACAAAUGUUUUCAUGAUGCAUUCACUGUAAGUACAAAAUUUCACAUUAAUGACCGACACAUCAUCACAUAGAAAAAAACUGUAUUUUGUAACUACAAACAACUGGAAAUGCAGAUAAUCUUGUGCAUCUGAAACAUUUAAUAAACUGUGUGUGUAAAUCAUCUGAUUAGACCAUUCAGAUGCAAUCAAUUCAUCUGGAAAGCCUUUUUUCUCUUGUCUGACAUGCACACGCACACACACACGCACACACACGCA
This is a long non-coding RNA of Scatophagus argus, 1277 nucleotides long. RefSeq lists it as uncharacterized. NCBI's taxonomy places the organism in Eukaryota, Metazoa, Chordata, Actinopteri, Scatophagidae. The transcript has 2 exons. The record is from RefSeq and is a predicted model, not a curated record.